This is a non-coding RNA of Cinara cedri, 282 nucleotides long. The record is from the annotation of a GenBank genome assembly. NCBI's taxonomy places the organism in Eukaryota, Metazoa, Arthropoda, Insecta, Hemiptera, Aphididae.
AAAUGGAAUUUUAUCUAGUUGAUAUUUUAAGGGGGUCAUUUUUUUAUUUUUUUAAACAGUUUUCAUAAUAAUCGGUGACCAAUAGACGAAUAAUGACGUACGGUGAUGGCGAUUUCUCAACCAUGGCUGAACUAACGUCGAGAUGCAUGGCUGCACAUUUUAUGUAUUAUUUUAAAAUAAAUUGUUGCACACUAAAUUUUGUCUCAUCGUAAGUUAAUAUACUCGAGCCAUUAUUUGCCAAUCUAACUAUGAUUACAUCUAAUAGGAUCUUUGAUCUAAACU